UGUGAAGAGACGGAUGAAACUAACUGA
Molecule: small RNA, 27 nt
Filed under: Arabidopsis thaliana (thale cress)
Lineage: Eukaryota; Viridiplantae; Streptophyta; Magnoliopsida; Brassicales; Brassicaceae
Description: ATSL151620
Source: RNAcentral